Molecule: ribosomal RNA, 460 nt
Filed under: uncultured bacterium
Lineage: Bacteria
Description: partial 16S ribosomal RNA
Rfam family: Bacterial small subunit ribosomal RNA
Source: RNAcentral
CCUACGGGAGGCAGCAGUGAGGAAUAUUGGUCAAUGGACGCAAGUUUGAACCAGCCAUGCCGCGUGUAGGAAGACGGCUCUAUGAGUUGUAAACUGCUUUUGUACGAGCGUAAACGCAGAUACGGGCAUAUGACUGAAAGUAACGUUCGAAUCAGGAACGGCUAACUCUGGGACAGCAGCCGCGGUAAUACGGAGGAUUCAAGCGUUAUCCGGAUUUAUUGGGUGUAAAGGGUGUGUAGGCGGUCGGAUAAGUUAGAGGUGAAAUCCCGAGGCUCAACUUCGGAAUUGCCUCUGUUACUGUGCGGCUAGAGAGUAGUAGCGGUAAGCGGAAUGUAUGGUGUAGCGGUGAAAUUCUUAGAGAUCAUACAGAACACCGAUUGCGAAGGCAGCUUACCAGGCUACUUCUGACGUUGAGGCACGAAAGCAUGGGGAGCAAACAGGAUUAGAUACCCUUGUAGUC